Molecule: ribosomal RNA, 502 nt
Filed under: uncultured marine eukaryote
Lineage: Eukaryota
Description: SSU rRNA
Rfam family: Eukaryotic small subunit ribosomal RNA
Source: RNAcentral
CAGUUAAAAAGCUCGUAGUUGGAUUUCGGAGUGGGCCGGUUGGUCCGCCGCAAGGUGUGUUACUGACUGGUUUGCUCUUCUUCGCAAAGACUGCGUGUGCUCUUGAGUGAGUGUGCGUAGGAUUUACGACGUUUACUUUGAAAAAAUUAGAGUGUUCAAAGCAGGCUAUUGCUUGAAUACAUGAGCAUGGAAUAAUGGAAUAGGACUUUGGUCCCAUUUUGUUGGUUUCUAGGGCCGAAGUAAUGAUUAAGAGGGACAAUUGGGGGCAUCCGUAUUUCGUUGUCAGAGGUGAAAUUCUUGGAUUUACGAAAGACGAACAACUGCGAAAGCACUUGCCAAGAGUGUUUUCAUUAAUCAAGAACGAAAGUUAGAGGAUCGAAGACGAUCAGAUACCGUCCUAGUUCUAACCAUAAACGAUGUCGACUAGGGAUCAGCGGGCGUUAUCGUACGACCCCGUUGGCACCUUACGGGAAACCAAAGUUUUUGGAUUCCGGGGGAAGUA